Molecule: long non-coding RNA, 1673 nt
Filed under: Manihot esculenta (cassava)
Lineage: Eukaryota; Viridiplantae; Streptophyta; Magnoliopsida; Malpighiales; Euphorbiaceae
Description: long non-coding RNA (MESC_LNC002764)
Source: RNAcentral
CCGAACCUCAUGUUCGGCCGCCGAACAUGCAUGAGUUUUGGAGUCACUUUCGGCUUCCGAAUGUGGCCUGGCCAGCCACCUAUAAAAGGCCCCAUGGCCGAAAAUGGGCGAGCUUUCUCCCCUAUUUUCGGCCAACGGUGAGUCCAUGCCCUUCCAUGGUUAGUUUCAAUGAUUUCCUUUAAAUCUUUCAAGUUUUGACAAGCCUUCAUCUUAUUUUUGAAGAUUUUUGAGUUAAAAACGGAGUUUUGGAGCUUGGAGACCCAAGGAGCUAGAUUUCUCUCAUUUCCAAGUUAGAAUCAUCUCUCCUCUCGAUCUUCAAGAGGUAAGCUUAGAUCCUACCUUUCUUGUAUGUUUUAAGCAAGUUUUGAGGGGUUAUGGGGUAGAAAUGCAUGCUUAGGUUAAUGUUGAGUUUAUGGACAAUGUGUGUUGUAUGAGUUGCUAUUUGUGUUUGUGUUGGGGUUUAGGUUAGUUUGAGACCCCUAUAUGCUUAUUUGCUUGUGUAUGCAUAUUGUAGAAUAGCUAAAUGCAUGUUUGAAUGGUUUGGGAGGCAAAAUGUGCAUGAGGAGGCUGAGUUCUGCCCUUUGGAAGAACUCAGGUUCGGUAGCCAAAGGACUUUCGGCCGCCGAACCUGCCUGUGGAGGCAAGCUUUUGGCUGCCGAACCCUGCCCCCGAAAGUUGGACUUUCGGCUCUGGAGGGGAGUUUCAGCCAUCGAAGGUGCCGCCGAACAUGCACGAGUUUCGGCUCUGGAACCACUUUCGGCCGCCAAAGGUGCCGCCGAAAGUGGUUGAGUUUCGGAUCUGGAGGGACUUUCGGCCGCCGAACCUGCCGCCGAAAGUGCUCUGUUCAGCCUUCCUUUGCAUGUUUUCUAUGAUUGUUUUAAGGUGUUUUAGGGGGUUUUUGGGGAGUUGUUUAGAGUCAUGUUCAUGUUUGUUUGGUCCCUCAUUUGAGUCCACCUGUGUAGGUUCGAACCCGAGGAACCGAGGACCCCAGCAGUGAGUUAGCUGCUUCAGUGUCUUCUCAGAGCUAGCCUGAGGUGAGUAGAAUAACUCCUUAUGUUUCAAAGUAAAUAAAUCAGUUCUGAGCAUGUUCAUGCAUCAAGAAUGCCAUGAGAUAUAUUAGGUUGUUUGCAUUAGAAUUCACGAAUAUGUUGCAUUGCAUAAUAUGAUGAUGAUGUGGAUGGGUAUUGGAUGAUCCUUUAUUCCUCGUAUGAUAUGACAUGAUGAUGAUAUGGUAUGGCAUGAAAGUCCAGGUCGAGGCCCAUUCUACGCCCCUGGCACUAUGUUAAGAGAAAGACCAGGUCGAGGCCUAUUCUAUGCCCCUGACAUUAUUGAAAUGCUAUGUUAUGUUAUGUUAAGAGAAAGACCAGGACGAGGCCCAUUCUACACCCCUGGCACUAUUGGUAUGUAGAGGACUACUGGUGACAAGUCCAUCCUUGAUUGUGAUUUAUUUGUGAUGUGAUGCAUUCCAUGAGAUCAUAUGUUUUAAAUACAAUAUUUUAUUAUUCUGCUCACUGGGCUCUAGUAGCUCACCCCAUUCCCUUAAUCCCCAGGUCGGCAGGUACGGGAUAGACCGGGAAGUCAGCAAGAGUAAAGAAGUCAUGUUGUAUGUAAUAGUUAGAUGUGGACAUGCAUUGUAAAAUGUUGUAAUGUGGUAUUAUGUAAAGAAUUGUGUU